This 200-nucleotide ribosomal RNA is filed under the name uncultured bacterium. RNAcentral's name for it is "partial 16S ribosomal RNA". It matches the Rfam family "Bacterial small subunit ribosomal RNA", at positions 524 to 718 of the family's 1533-position model. The record is from RNAcentral.
UACAUGGGGUGCAAACGUUGCUCGGAAUUAUUGGGCGUAAAGCGCGACUGUGAGGCGGUUCGUUAAGUUCGGAUGUGAAAGCCCUCGGCUCAACUGAGGAAGUGCGCCCGAAACUGCAGAGCUUGAGUACCGGAGAGGGUGGCGGAAUUCCCCAAGUAGAGGUGGAAAUUCGUAGAUAUGGGGAGGAACACCGGUGGCGA